RNAcentral lists this ribosomal RNA (853 nucleotides) under uncultured Gammaproteobacteria bacterium. RNAcentral's name for it is "bacterial SSU rRNA". It matches the Rfam family "Bacterial small subunit ribosomal RNA", at positions 37 to 887 of the family's 1533-position model. Lineage: Bacteria; Pseudomonadati; Pseudomonadota; Gammaproteobacteria. The record is from RNAcentral.
UGGCGGCAGCCCUUAUACAUGCAAGUCGAACGAGAAAGUUUCUUCGGAAGCGAGUAAAGUGGCGGACGGGUGAGUAACGCGUAGGAAUCUACCUUUCAGUGGGGGAUAGCUCGAGGAAACUCGAAUUAAUACCGCAUACACCCUUAGGGGGAAAGGGGGCCUCUCCUUGGAAGCUCUCGCUGUUAGAUGAGCCUGCGUGAGAUUAGUUUGUUGGUAAGGUAAUGGCUUACCAAGACUACGAUCUCUAGCUGGUCUGAGAGGACGAUCAGCCACACUGGGACUGAGACACGGCCCAGACUCCUACGGGAGGCAGCAGUAGGGAAUAUUGGACAAUGGGGGAAACCCUGAUCCAGGCAUGCCGCGUGUGUGAAGAAGGCCUUAGGGUUGUAAAGCACUUUAAGUGAGGAAGAAAAGAUUUAAGUUAAUAUCUUAAAUCCCUGACAUUACUCACAGAAUAAGGACCGGCUAACUCCGUGCCAGCAGCCGCGGUAAUACGGAGGGUCCAAGCGUUAAUCGGAAUUACUGGGCGUAAAGCGCGCGUAGAUGGUCUGUUUAGUUGGGUGUGAAAUCCCUGGGCUCAACCUAGGAACUGCAUUCAAAACUUACAGACUAGAGUACGAAAGAGGAGAGCAGAAUUCAUGGUGUAGCGGUGAAAUGCGUAGAUAUCAUGAGGAAUACCAGUGGCGAAGGCGGCUCUCUGGUUCGAGACUGACAUUGAGGUGCGAAAGCGUGGGUAGCAAACAGGAUUAGAUACCCUGGUAGUCCACGCCGUAAACGAUGAGAACUAGCCGUUGGAUCUUUAGAUUCAGUGGCGCAGCUAACGCAUUAAGUUCUCCGCCUGGGGAGUACGGCC